Cucurbita pepo subsp. pepo (vegetable marrow) is the source of this 102-nucleotide small nuclear RNA. Lineage: Eukaryota; Viridiplantae; Streptophyta; Magnoliopsida; Cucurbitales; Cucurbitaceae. The record is from RefSeq and is a predicted model, not a curated record.
GUCUCUUUUGAGGCAUCAGAUAAAAUUUGAACCAUACAAAGUAGAUUAGCUAGGUCCUUGUGCACGAUGACUUGUCCUAAUCAAGUUAAGAAAAGGAUUUUA